RNAcentral lists this ribosomal RNA (784 nucleotides) under uncultured Actinomycetes bacterium. RNAcentral describes it as "bacterial SSU rRNA". It matches the Rfam family "Bacterial small subunit ribosomal RNA", at positions 56 to 849 of the family's 1533-position model. The record is from RNAcentral. Lineage: Bacteria; Bacillati; Actinomycetota; Actinomycetes.
UGCGAGUCGAACGAUGAAGCUGGAGCUUGCUCCGGCCGAUUAGUGGCGAACGGGUGAGUAACACGUGAGCAAUCUGCCCUUGACUCUGGGAUAACUGCGGGAAACUGUAGCUAAUACCGGAUACUUUCCUCGCUGGGCAUCCAGCGGGGAAGAAAGAAUUUCGGUCAAGGAUGAGCUCGCGGCCUAUCAGCUAGUUGGUGAGGUAAAGGCUCACCAAGGCGACGACGGGUAGCCGGCCUGAGAGGGUGACCGGCCACACUGGAACUGAGACACGGUCCAGACUCCUACGGGAGGCAGCAGUGGGGAAUAUUGCACAAUGGGCGAAAGCCUGAUGCAGCAACGCCGCGUGAGGGAUGAAGGCCUUCGGGUUGUAAACCUCUUUUAGCAGGGAAGAAGCGAAAGUGACGGUACCUGCAGAAAAAGCACCGGCUAACUACGUGCCAGCAGCCGCGGUAAUACGUAGGGUGCAAGCGUUGUCCGGAAUUAUUGGGCGUAAAGAGCUCGUAGGCGGUUUGUCACGUCUGCUGUGAAAAUCCGAGGCUCAACCUCGGACUUGCAGUGGGUACGGGCAGGCUAGAGUGCGGUAGGGGAGAAGGGAAUUCCUGGUGUAGCGGUGGAAUGCGCAGAUAUCAGGAGGAACACCAAUGGCGAAGGCACUUCUCUGGGCCGUAACUGACGCUGAGGAGCGAAAGCGUGGGGAGCGAACAGGAUUAGAUACCCUGGUAGUCCACGCCGUAAACGGUGGGUGCUAGCUGUGGGCCACAUUCCACGUGGUCCGUGACGA